RNAcentral lists this ribosomal RNA (452 nucleotides) under uncultured bacterium. RNAcentral's name for it is "bacterial SSU rRNA". It matches the Rfam family "Bacterial small subunit ribosomal RNA", at positions 29 to 526 of the family's 1533-position model. The record is from RNAcentral.
AGCGAACGCUGGCGGCAGGCUUAACACAUGCAAGUCGAACGGGCACUUCGGUGCUAGUGGCAGACGGGUGAGUAACACGUGGGAACGUACCUUUCGGUUCGGAAUAAUUCAGGGAAACUUGGACUAAUACCGGAUACGCCCUUCGGGGGAAAGAUUUAUCGCCGAUAGAUCGGCCCGCGUCUGAUUAGCUAGUUGGUGAGGUAAUGGCUCACCAAGGCGACGAUCAGUAGCUGGUCUGAGAGGAUGAUCAGCCACAUUGGGACUGAGACACGGCCCAAACUCCUACGGGAGGCAGCAGUGGGGAAUAUUGGACAAUGGGCGCAAGCCUGAUCCAGCCAUGCCGCGUGAGUGAUGAAGGCCUUAGGGUUGUAAAGCUCUUUUGUCCGGGAAGAUAAUGACUGUACCGGAAGAAUAAGCCCCGGCUAACUUCGUGCCAGCCGCCGCCGUAAAAC